ACUGCCAGGGAGCACUUAGGAACUGCAGAGGAGAUGGGCUGAAGGUUGCUGAAGUCGCCUUGGUCUUCGCUCUGUAAAAAACCUGACUAACAAUUCCGACACAAUUUUCAUGCAGUUUCAAAUCAAGUGUACAGCAGCUGUUCAUUUUUCUGCGAUAAAUCACCGUUUCUUGACAUUUGGAAACUCAGGAGGCCCCAAAAAAAAGAGGGGAAAAAGUGCUUAGGGUAGAUUCUUUUUAUUUUUAAUUAUUUAACGCUUUCAGAUGCUCGGCCCCAGAGGUGUGUCGACACCACAAAUGGUGCAAGGACGGCCUGGCCAAAGCGAGAUCCAGGGGAGGCUGCCGGCUGUCGCCCUCCUCCCCCAGCUGCAGAUGGGCCCGAAGCUGCCAUGCGGGGGACCUGGGGCAGGGUGGGAGAAGGGGCAGGCUUGUCCCUGCUGCUUCUCCAGGGACGCUGGCCCCAAAAGAGCCCUACAUCCUGGCCCCAGGGCACCAGUUCCAUUCCUCCGUAAAAUGCAAAGGAUUGGGUGCCUGAUCCUGAUUUCACGGCUGCAAAACGUCUAGCACGGCUGAAAUCCAUGACUGCACGCUCCUUGCUUUCACCCACUGACUUUAACGAAGCUCUUGGCGAUUAAUAGCGGGGGCAAAGGAAAGAACGAGUGUCUCAGCAACAUCAGGGGAAUUCACAGCGACCUCUGCCCUCAUUGCACCUCUGGGGAAGGCAGCAGAAAGAAGUGCCGGGCACGGAUCCGCAGCAGCACGGGAGGGGAACAAGCCUGGAGCUGCGAGGGAACGUUCCUGCCUCCGACACAACAAAAUGGGAGCGGGCUGUUUGUUUUCCCUGAUGCUAAUAAUCGCGGUGCUAGGCUUGUCAUCGCCAGCAUUGCUUCCUUCCCCAACAUAAACUACUGUGUUUCAAAAAGGGGCCUCUUGAUUGUUUUUAUUUACGUGCAGGGAUGGGAUUUCAAGCUGUUCUCUACUGCCCUGCGAGCUGGGCCCGCUCUGGGGAGAUGAGUGGGGAGAUCUGCUUGUCUGUCCAAAGGAGGGGAUGGCAGGGGGCUGCGUACUGCGGAGGAGGCAGGAGGGGAUGGCAGGAGACAGACAAAGGAGAGGCGAGUGAAGGAGGAUGUCUCUUGCCUGGAGAGCACGCGUGUAAACCCCUGGGUUUACACCCAAGCACGUCAACCCGAGAUCUGAACUGAAAUGCAACCAGGGAGGCAGCAGCAGCGUCUGUCCCACCCAGCCCGGAGGAACACGCAGCUUUUGUGUGGGAGGGCAGCGGGGAGAGGAGCAGAGCUGUGUCCCGGCGGGCUUUAACCGGGGAAGGGCAGUCCCUGCCCUGCAACUGGAAAGCUUUCAGGCCAUAUAUUCCGCGUGGUGGCCUGGAGAGGGCCGGGGAGGAUGCAGAAAGGCAGGACGGAGGUGGAAAAUCUGGAGCGCAACUCUUUCGCCUCUAAGUAGGUGUAGUUUAACCACCAGCGCUCCCAUUUCAAAGCCGUGUCGAGCUGCACACUGAGCCCCUGGAGCCCCAGUGCUGUGCAGGGCACCCGACCUCCCCUCCGCUGCCUGCUCUGCGCGGUUAGGGCAAUCCUG
This is a long non-coding RNA of Cygnus olor (mute swan), 1591 nucleotides long. RefSeq lists it as uncharacterized. The record is from RefSeq and is a predicted model, not a curated record. NCBI's taxonomy places the organism in Eukaryota, Metazoa, Chordata, Aves, Anseriformes, Anatidae. The transcript has 3 exons.